RNAcentral lists this ribosomal RNA (492 nucleotides) under uncultured bacterium. Its description in RNAcentral is "partial 16S ribosomal RNA". It matches the Rfam family "Bacterial small subunit ribosomal RNA", at positions 29 to 507 of the family's 1533-position model. The record is from RNAcentral.
AUUGAACGCUGGCGGCAUGCUUUACACAUGCAAGUCGAACGGUAACAGGCCUUCGGGUGCUGUCGAGUGGCGCACGGGUGCGUAAUGCAUCGGAACGUACCCAGCGGUGGUGGCUAUCGCAUCGAAAGCUGUGCUAAUACCUCAUGUUAUCUGAGGAUGAAAGCGGGGGACCGCGUAGCAAUGUUUUGCCUCGUGCCUUUGUAGUGGCCGAUGUGGGAGUAGCUAGUUGGUGGGGUAAAGGCCUACCAAGGCGACGAUCCGUUGCUGGUCUGAGAGGAGGAGAAGCCACACGGGAAGUGAGACACGGACCAGACUCCUACGGGAGGCAGCAGAGGGGAAUGGUGGACAAGGGACGAAAGCAUGAACAAGCAAAGUCGAGUGGGGGAAGAAGGGAUGGGGGUAGGAAACGGAUAUUGGGAGGAAAAAAAAGGAGAGAGAGAAAAGCGGGCGAUAAUGACGGUACCUGAAGAAUAAGCACCGGCUAACUACGUG